RNAcentral lists this ribosomal RNA (245 nucleotides) under uncultured bacterium. RNAcentral's name for it is "partial 16S ribosomal RNA". It matches the Rfam family "Bacterial small subunit ribosomal RNA", at positions 524 to 768 of the family's 1533-position model. The record is from RNAcentral.
UACGUAGGGAGCUAACGUUGUUCGGAAUUACUGGGCAUAAAGAGCUCGUAGGAGGUUUGGAAAGUCAGAUGUGAAAUCCCCCGGCUUAACCGGGGAACUGCAUCUGAAACUGCCUUACUUGAGUGUAGGAGAGGAGAGCGGAACUCUUGGUGGAGCGGUGAAAUGCGUUGAUAUCAAGGGGAACGCCGGUGGCGAAAGCGACUCUCUGGCCUAUUACUGACUCUGAGGAGCGAAAGCUAGGGGAG